GGGAGAACAAAUAUUAUUAUAGUUUGUGCCAAGAAACCGAGUAAAAGAAAGACAUGAAAUGUGCAGCUUAACGUUCAAUUUUACCCUAAUUUAAACAAAUAAAUGUAUUAGGCAUAACUCAUCUCUCAAAUUUCCUAUCUCAUUUUCGUUUGACCUCAAUUUUCAGGAACCAAACAAGGCAUCAAUGAAAAUCAGGAGAGAAAAGAAAAGACAAAAAUAAGAAAAGUACCACAUACCCUCAACUGAUUAGUCACAGUAUCUUCUUGAUUAUAAAAUGUCAGUCU
RNAcentral lists this unclassified non-coding RNA (284 nucleotides) under Hevea brasiliensis (rubber tree). Lineage: Eukaryota; Viridiplantae; Streptophyta; Magnoliopsida; Malpighiales; Euphorbiaceae. The record is from RNAcentral.